This 441-nucleotide ribosomal RNA is filed under the name uncultured bacterium. Its description in RNAcentral is "partial 16S ribosomal RNA". It matches the Rfam family "Bacterial small subunit ribosomal RNA", at positions 338 to 795 of the family's 1533-position model. The record is from RNAcentral.
CCUACGGGAGGCUGCAGUGGGGAAUAUUGCACAAUGGGGGAAACCCUGAUGCAGCGACGCCGCGUGAGUGAAGAAGUAUUUCGGUAUGUAAAGCUCUAUCAGCAGGGAAGAAGAAAGACGGUACCUGACUAAGAAGCCCCGGCUAACUACGUGCCAGCAGCCGCGGUAAUACGUAGGGGGCAAGCGUUAUCCGGAUUUACUGGGUGGAAAGGGAGCGUAGACGGCUGUGCAAGUCUGAAGUGAAAGCCCAGGGCUCAACCCUGGGACUGCUUUGGAAACUGUGGAGCUAGAGUGCUGGAGAGUUAAGUGGAAUUCCUAGUGUAGCGGUGAAAUGCGUAGAUAUUAGGAGGAACACCAGUGGCGAAGGCGGCUUACUGGACAGUAACUGACGUUGAGGCUCGAAAGCGUGGGGAGCAAACAGGAUUAGAUACCCCAGUAGUC